This 58-nucleotide transfer RNA is filed under the name Callipepla squamata (scaled quail). It matches the Rfam family "tRNA", at positions 8 to 63 of the family's 71-position model. From Rfam's summary of the family: Transfer RNA (tRNA) molecules are approximately 80 nucleotides in length. Their secondary structure includes four short double-helical elements and three loops (D, anti-codon, and T loops). Further hydrogen bonds mediate the characteristic L-shaped molecular structure. tRNAs have two regions of fundamental functional importance: the anti-codon, which is responsible for specific mRNA codon recognition, and the 3' end, to which the tRNAs corresponding amino acid is attached (by aminoacyl-tRNA synthetases). tRNAs cope with the degeneracy of the genetic code in two manners: having more than one tRNA (with a specific anti-codon) for a particular amino acid; and 'wobble' base-pairing, i.e. permitting non-standard base-pairing at the 3rd anti-codon position. The record is from Rfam by way of RNAcentral. Lineage: Eukaryota; Metazoa; Chordata; Aves; Galliformes; Odontophoridae.
UAGCUCAGUCGGUAGAGCUUGGGGCUCUUAAUCCCAGGGUCGUGGGUUCGAGCCCCAC